GACGAACGCUGGCGGCGUGCUUAACACAUGCAAGUCGAACGGUAAGGCCCUUCGGGGUACACGAGUGGCGAACGGGUGAGUAACACGUGGGUGAUCUGCCCUGCACUUCGGGAUAAGCCUGGGAAACUGGGUCUAAUACCGGAUAGGACUCCGGACUGCAUGGUCGGGGGUGGAAAGCUUUUGCGGUGUGGGAGGGGCCCGCGGCCUAUCAGCUUGUUGGUGGGGUGAUGGCCUACCAAGGCGACGACGGGUAGCCGGCCUGAGAGGGUGACCGGCCACACUGGGACUGAGAUACGGCCCAGACUCCUACGGGAGGCAGCAGUGGGGAAUAUUGCACAAUGGGCGCAAGCCUGAUGCAGCGACGCCGCGUGAGGGAUGACGGCCUUCGGGUUGUAAACCUCUUUCAGCAUCGACGAAGCGAAAGUGACGGUAGGUGCAGAAGAAGGACCGGCCAACUACGUGCCAGCAGCCGCCGUAA
RNAcentral lists this ribosomal RNA (478 nucleotides) under uncultured bacterium. RNAcentral's name for it is "partial 16S ribosomal RNA". It matches the Rfam family "Bacterial small subunit ribosomal RNA", at positions 28 to 523 of the family's 1533-position model. The record is from RNAcentral.